RNAcentral lists this ribosomal RNA (170 nucleotides) under uncultured bacterium. RNAcentral describes it as "partial 16S ribosomal RNA". It matches the Rfam family "Bacterial small subunit ribosomal RNA", at positions 1331 to 1500 of the family's 1533-position model. The record is from RNAcentral.
AUUGCUAGUAAUCGCGAAUCAGAAUGUCGCGGUGAAUACGUUCCCGGGCCUUGUACACACCGCCCGUCACACCAUGAGAGUCGAUAACACCCGAAGCCUGUGAGCUAACCUUAGGGAGGCAGCAGUCGAAGGUGGGGUUGAUGAUUAGGGUGAAGUCGUAACAAGGUACC